RNAcentral lists this ribosomal RNA (605 nucleotides) under Kwoniella heveanensis. RNAcentral describes it as "eukaryotic LSU rRNA". It matches the Rfam family "Eukaryotic large subunit ribosomal RNA", at positions 62 to 654 of the family's 3401-position model. The record is from RNAcentral. Lineage: Eukaryota; Fungi; Basidiomycota; Tremellomycetes; Tremellales; Cryptococcaceae.
AAACUAACAAGGAUUCCCCUAGUAACGGCGAGUGAACCGGGAAGAGCUCAAAUUUGAAAUCUGGCGUCCUUCGGGCGUCCGAGUUGUAAUCUAUAGAAACGUUUUCCGUGCCGGACCGUGUCCAAGUCCCUUGGAACAGGGUAUCAGAGAGGGUGACAAUCCCGUACUUGACACGACGACCGGUGCUCUGUGAUACGUUCUCUACGAGUCGAGUUGUUUGGGAAUGCAGCUCAAAAUGGGUGGUAAACUCCAUCUAAAGCUAAAUAUUGGUGGGAGACCGAUAGCGAACAAGUACCGUGAGGGAAAGAUGAAAAGCACUUUGGAAAGAGAGUUAAACAGUAUGUGAAAUUGUUGAAAGGGAAACGAUUGAAGUCAGUCGUGACCGUUGGGUUCAGCCGGUUCUGCCGGUCUACUCCCUUCGGUCGGGUCAACAUCGGUUUUGACCGGCGGAUAAGGAAGGGAGGAAUGUGGCACCCUCCGGGGUGUGUUAUAGCCUCUCGUCGCAUACGUCGGUCGAGACCGAGGAACGCAGCUCGCCUUUAUGGCCGGGGUUCGCCCACGUCCGAGCUUAGGAUGUUGACAUAAUGGCUUUAAACGACCCGUCU